GGCGCUAUAGUGUAGUGGUUAUCACUUGGGAUUCUGACUUUCGGUGUUCCCAAAACCCAGGUUCGAGCCCUGGUAGCGCCU
Molecule: transfer RNA, 81 nt
Filed under: Trametes sanguinea
Lineage: Eukaryota; Fungi; Basidiomycota; Agaricomycetes; Polyporales; Polyporaceae
Description: tRNA-Gln
Rfam family: tRNA
About the family: Transfer RNA (tRNA) molecules are approximately 80 nucleotides in length. Their secondary structure includes four short double-helical elements and three loops (D, anti-codon, and T loops).
Source: RNAcentral